Molecule: ribosomal RNA, 440 nt
Filed under: uncultured bacterium
Lineage: Bacteria
Description: partial 16S ribosomal RNA
Rfam family: Bacterial small subunit ribosomal RNA
Source: RNAcentral
CCUACGGGUGGCAGCAGUGGGGAAUAUUGCACAAUGGGGGGAACCCUGAUGCAGCGACGCCGCGUGGGUGAGGAAGUACUUCGGUAUGUAAAGCCCUAUCAGCAGGGAAGAAAAUGACGGUACCUGACUAAGAAGCCCCGGCGAACUACGUGCCAGCACGCGCGGGAAUACGGAGGGGGCCAGCGUUAUCCGGAUUUACUGGGUGUAAAGGGAGCGUAGACGGGGUGCCAAGUCUGAUGUGAAAGGCCGGGGUUCAACCCCGGGACUGCAUUGGAAACUGGCAUGCUGGAGUGCCGGAGGGGCAAGCGGAAUUCGUGGUGUAGCGGUGAAAUGCGUAGAUAUUAGGAAGAACACCGAUGGCGAAGGCAGCUUACUGGCCGGUAACUGACGUUGAGGCUCGAAAGCGUGGGGAGCAAACAGGAUUAGAUACCCGUGUAGUC